RNAcentral lists this long non-coding RNA (2801 nucleotides) under Anolis carolinensis (green anole). RNAcentral's name for it is "lncRNA (ENSACAG00000044905.1)". The record is from RNAcentral. Lineage: Eukaryota; Metazoa; Chordata; Lepidosauria; Squamata; Anolidae.
AUGCCUCAAGUACCGCCUCCCAGCAGCAAAGAACUGGUGGGAUCACAAACCUGCAAAAGUAUUGCACAGACAGACUACAAACAGAGGCACAACUAUGUGGCCCAAAUGAUUCAUUGGAACUUAUGCCUCAAGUACCACCUCCCAGCAGCAAAGAACUGGUGGGAUCACAAACCUGCAAAAGUAUUGGAAAAGAGCACGCAAAGAUAUUGUGGGACUUCUGAAUCCAGACUGACAAAGUUCUGGAACACAACACACCAGACAUCACAGUUGUGGAAAAGAACAAGGUUUGGAUCAUUGAUGUUGCCAUCCCAGGUGACAGUCGCAUAGAUGAAAAACAACAGGAAAAACUCAGCCGCUAUCAGGACCUCAAGAUUGAACUUCAAAGACUCUGGCAGAAACCAGUACAGGUGGUCCCGGUGGUGAUGGGCACACUGGGUGCCGUGCCAAAAGAUCUCAGCCGGCAUUUGGAAACAAUAGACAUUGACAAAAUUACGAUCUGCCAACUGCAAAAGGCCACCUUACUGGGAUCUGCACGCAUCAUCCGAAAAUACAUCACACAGUCCUAGACACUUGGGAAGUGUUCGACUUGUGAUUUUGUGAAACGAAAUCCAGCAUGUCUAUCUUGCUUGCUGUGCCAUACAACGUCGUUGUGUCAAUAAUAAUAAUAAUAAUAAUAAUAAUAAUAACAUUAUUUUUAUGCCCCACCCCAUCUCCCCGAAGGGACUCGGGGCAGCUUACAUGGGGCCUGGCCCGAUACAGCAAUCAAAUAACAAUAACAGAGCAAAACACAAUUAUCCCAAUAAAAACAUCAGCAUCAAUAAAAAAAACAAUCAUUAAAAUCAACAUGCAACAUACAGAGUUAAAAACAGGGGACUAAUUCAUAAAUCAUACUCAAUCAGAUCCUGGGUCCUCGUUGGACAAUUUAUUUAUUUAUUUAUUUAUUUACAGUAUUUAUAUUCUGUCCUUCUCAGGGCAGAUUACAAUGCACAAAUACAUGGCAAACAUUCAAUGCCAUUAGACAUACAACAUAUAGACAGAGACAGAGGCAAUUUAACAUUUUUCCAGCUUCCGGCUUCAUGAGGGUAUGCUCGAUUCCGGCCACAGGGGGAGCUGCUUCUUCUGACACCGAGUCCUUGAUGGUAGUACUUCCUCAUUCCUUUCCUCACACUGCUAGCAGUUUUUACAAUGUCAGAAAUUAGUUAAAUUAGCCUCCUCUCAUAAAGCGGUACCUAGGAUUUUCUACUCAACAGAUGCAAUUGUUUUCUGAGCUGCUUAGGUGGGCAGUGAGCUAGGCUAUUGAUGGUCAGGAGCUCAAUCCGACCUGGGCUUCAAUCCCAUGACCUCUCGGUAGUGAUUUAUUGCAGCUGGCUACUAACCAUCUGCGCCACAGCCCGGCUGGAGAAGUAAGCCACAAUGGACCACCACAAAAGUAGAAAAAUCAUGAAUGUAAAAAAUGGCGCAGUGGGUAAAACCACUAAGCUGCAGAACUUGCUGACCAGAAGGUCUACGGUUUAAAACCGCAGGAUGGGGUGAGCUCCCACUGUUAGCUUCAGCUUCUGCUAACCUAGCAGUUCGAAAACAUGCAAAUGUGAGUAGAUCAAUAGGUACCGCUCUAACGGGAGGUAGUUGUACAGCGCUCCAAGCUGUCAUGCCGGCCGCAUGACCUUAGAGGUGUCUACGGGCAAUGCAGCACUCUGAAAACAGAAGAACUCCAGACAUGAAUCAAUCAGGGGCAGCUAACGACUCUGAACAACGGAUUCCCCCAGGCCUGGAUGUGAGGCUGGGAAGGCCAUUUAAUGCUAACAAAGGUGAUUAAUUACAACAUUCACACUGGCCUCCAACAGACAAGAGUUCUUUCCCCCCACCCAGGAACUUCCACAGAUAUACAAACCUUCCUUGCUUAGUUUCUCCAUACCUCACAACCUCUGAGGAUGCCUGCCAUAGAUGUGGGUGAAACGUCAGGAGAGAAUGCUUCUGGAACAUGGCCAUACAACAACCCUGUGAUCCCGGCCAUGAAAGCCUUCGACAACCCACAUUGGAACGUUUGCUUGGCUUGGCUUAGUUGCAUUUCAUAGUUCCACGUUAUAUUCUCAUUCCUGGAGACCUCUUGGGUCCUCCUCCCGCGAAAAAAGCAGGAUUCAUAUGGAAUUCCUGCGACAAAACAGCUAUUGACUUGAAAUCAACUUGUUUUAUAGCUACACGUUUAUUUGCCCCCUCUCUCCCAGCUUUCAGAGCUUAAGAGGUAGUGCCGAAGCACUUUCUGCCGUUUAUUUCAGUUCCCUUUGUCUGAAGAGUUGAAAUUACAACGUUCUUUCAGGGCUAAUUUAGUGGUUUUCUCCUUCUCUGUUGGGCAAAUAUUGAUUUUCUAUUAGACUUUCUUUCAGGCCACAAGCCAGCUGUUUUCGUGUGGUGAAGGGAGCUCCGAAAGGAAGAAAAGACUGACCCGAACACCAAAGCUGGGAUAAACAAAUACAACCCUAGCCGCUCAUUCCAAGGCCUUCUUCCCACUGUCUCUCCAUUCUUUGAAGGGACAUCGUCAAAUCGCUGCUAAUGAAUUGGGUCAGAUGCCACAACUCCGUAACUUAUUUAUGUCUCGGCUCCAGGCCCAGGCAAGAGCUUUAUCAAUGGCUAUUGCAGGAGAGAUCAAGAAGAAAUGGCACUUGUGGCUCAUCUUUAACUCUUUUGGCCAGCUGGGCAGAUGUCAACUCUGGCCACAAAGCAGAAAUCGCCCCGGCUACUUCUAGGAGCAAAACCUCCCCAAUUCUACUCAUUAUUUCUCUACGCUGCAGUCCUACUUUUUC